Molecule: ribosomal RNA, 246 nt
Filed under: uncultured eukaryote
Lineage: Eukaryota
Description: partial 18S ribosomal RNA
Rfam family: Eukaryotic small subunit ribosomal RNA
Source: RNAcentral
AAGCUCGUAGUUGAAUUUCGGUCUGCCUCAAACGAGGUAUGUACCAGGGAUCUGAGACCAUCCUCGGGAAAAACAUGCCUGUAAUUAAGUUUAUGGGUAUGGGAUUCCCGUCAUUUACUGUGAGCAAAAUAGGGUGUUCAAAGCAGGCUUAUGCCGUUGAAUACAUUAGCAUGGAAUAAUAAGAUAAGACCUUGGUCUAUUUUGUUGGUUUGUACUCCAAAGUAAUGAUUAAUAGGGAUAGUUGGG